GAGCAGGCUGAAAGAAAUAAAUGACGUCUUGAUAUACCUGACAAGGGCGUGGCCAGGGGAAGGGGCAGGCCCCGCCCUCCCUUCGAGCAGCAAAAAAUACAGUAAACGUAUGAGACAUUAUUUAAGAUACAGGAGGAAAUGAAAAAAACCGCGUUUUGGGCCCCCUCCUUUUAAAAAUCGUGGCUACGCUUCUUCCUGACCAGCUUGACAAGUGGCAAAUGUAAAUAAUUACAGGGGGAUAUGGCGGGAAAAUGUUUAAUAAUAUUAAGGCCCAUUGCAGUAUACACUGAAUUACGGGUCUGUCAGCAACAAUUAAACAGCCAGCGAUAAAUAAUGGGAAAAUACGGAUGUGUCAUUGUUCUAACUGGCAUUUCACAGUGACGAAGUGGUUGAAUCUGCGGGUGGAGCCAACCGACGGGUAGCAAGUCUGGUGGCCAGAUCUUAGAUUCAAAUUCGCUGACAUGAAAAUGUGUUUUGCAAAUGGCAUUUUAUUUCACAUUCUUUGACAUUCCUGAGCUCUAGCAAAUGGGCAAUUAGUUGCAACUUGUUCUACGUUUUCACCAACAGACCAAGAUAAACAAAGAAAGUCCCCCUUGGACCCCAGUUUGACACCCGACUGGAGAAAUCUAAAUUUGUAUAAAGAAACAUUUGAAGAAAAGCAGAAUUAACUUCGUGCUAGAGAAAUGCUCGCGGGUUAAAUGCGAAGUGUACUUAAAGCGAUUUGAGAUGUCCUACGUGCAUUUACACGGAAAACCCAAGUGACUGUUCUCCCAUGGACGGUCAGAUAUAUUAUACAUUUCUGGCAGGCCUUGCCGGCGUAUAGCGGAGGGCAAGCGCAUCUGAAGUCUCCGUCUCGGUAUGAUGGGUAACACCUCCCUCCAUGGAGACACGCCCCUCCAGCACACGGGCUCUAGGAUAAAACAAGAUGGCACCACAUUGAUACAUAAGCGCUCGGGCACUAGAACGACAAAGCUUUUAUAAACGCAAAAACAUAAACACGGUCAUUUGCCAUGUAAACAUAUCACGGGCUCUAUAAGAUAAAGACAACCACAAGAUACAGGUACACGGCCGGGAUCAAUAAAAAACAUUUCUCGUUAACCACAAAAACUAUAAGACAUCAGUACGAUUGAAUUUUGAGACAGAAUACAUCAAUAUCGUUGAAUCAGAAGCACUAAAC
Nematostella vectensis (starlet sea anemone) is the source of this 1177-nucleotide long non-coding RNA. RefSeq lists it as uncharacterized. The record is from RefSeq and is a predicted model, not a curated record. The transcript is spliced from 2 exons. Lineage: Eukaryota; Metazoa; Cnidaria; Anthozoa; Actiniaria; Edwardsiidae.